Molecule: long non-coding RNA, 1253 nt
Organism: Manis pentadactyla (Chinese pangolin)
Lineage: Eukaryota; Metazoa; Chordata; Mammalia; Pholidota; Manidae
Exons: 3
Source: RefSeq, a predicted model, not a curated record
GGGGGCGAGGAGGACGCGGGGGCGGAGGACCCUGAUUCCGGGAAGCUGGGCACCGGCCGCGGAGCGUCGGGGCUCGGGCUCACUCCUCCGCAGAAGAAACGUGCCUGGGAGCCCGGCUGGAAGGAGAGGAGGCUGCAAGGAGGGGAGCCGGGGCUAAGUGUGGGGUCUGGGGAAGAGGGGAAGAGACUGUGACGCCGUCUCAUUCAAAGCCCCCACAUCAAGAACCGAGGAGCCGGAUUGCGUCGCUGUGUACUUGGUCAAGUUACAAUAAACUUGGUUUCCUUUGGGGCAGAAAACUAAGAGCGCAAAUGGAAAGACCGGCAGCAUUGUUUUCACCAAUUAAAAAGGGAAGCAGGAGUGUGCUAGAAGGGGACCACACCGGCCCACUUACACACCCUGACACCGGGUUUCACCUGCUGUGCUCCCCUAGGAGCUAGGAGUGGCCAGAGAGGUCAGUGCACCCCUCAGUGAGGGGUGACCUGGGUCACACUGCUUGACAUCUCAGAAUCCGUUGCUGCAUCUGGGAAAUGAUAUUUUCCUCGUGGAGUUAAAAGUCCAUGCCAGGUUCUCAAGAAAUACUGGUUCUCUAAGCUACUUGUUUCACGUUCAUCAAGAAGGGAGACGUUUGUCUUCUCAGCCCUUUCCGAGGUUGGGACAGCAAAAUCAUUUUCAUCCAAAAUGCUUUUUAGAAAACAUUGUGUAGAUUAAAGGGUAGAAUUAUAAUGACUAACAUUUACUAAAAUAUUUUCUAUGUGUUGGAUCCUGUACAUUAACUCUUUAAACAACUGUAUGAGGUCCGUCGUCGUAUUCUCCCAAUUUUGUGAAUAAAAAAACGUAUCAAGCAACUGUGUGGAAAAGGCACAUACAAAGAAGGCUGCCUCUCCAAAAAUUUCAGAUACAAAGAUGCAUCUGUGCACCUACUGUGUUUUAUUCCAAAUGCAUCAAAACUGAGAUACCACAUUCAUAAAAUGUGCUUUAAUGAUGUAGGCAUUGAUACAUGUCCACAAUGCCUUACCUAAUAUUUUAGGGCCAGCCAGACAUGUUUCCAAAUUUGUAAGUUUUUUAAUUUUUAAAAGGUAGUUUGGUGCAUGCUUCAUUUAAUAUAGAACACACUCAAUCCAGCACAGUUUGGGACAGCACUCUGUAUUCAAACACAUCAAUUCUUCAGCAAAAAAAAAUGGACUCUAAGUGAGGUAAAUAAAAUCUAUGAAUAGCCUCACAUUUAUUCAGGUCAAGUACUUGUCACCAAAUAA